This is a long non-coding RNA of Alligator sinensis (Chinese alligator), 301 nucleotides long. RefSeq lists it as uncharacterized. The transcript has 3 exons. The record is from RefSeq and is a predicted model, not a curated record. NCBI's taxonomy places the organism in Eukaryota, Metazoa, Chordata, Crocodylia, Alligatoridae.
UCAUUCUGCUCCUACCAGUAACUGGCAAUAGUCAGCUCUGUACUCUUGGAAACAUUAAAUGAGCUUGCAGAUGUCUCUCCAGAAUGAGAGACAUGCCCCAUUUUGGAGUAGAAGUGAGCAUUACUGAACCUGGCUUCUUUAAGACUGGUGUGACUAGCUUAGAGGUUAUUGAAAGAGAUCUAUUAUGACUUUGGAACCGACUGUCUUCAGAAGCCAGAGAAUCCUAUGGAAACACGUACUUUGUUAAGUGCACAGCAAGACCCAGACAUUUUUGGUGUGCAUACACCCAAAGGAGCCAAAA